AUGGUGGAUGUUUCAGCAGGACUCAUGAUUGUGGAAGUCUCUUUUGUAGUAGAUGUUUCUGCUUCACUAGUGGUGGAUAUUUCAGGUGUAGUUGUGAUUGUUAAAGUCUCUAAUGUUGUAGAUGUUUCUGCUACAAUGAUAGUAGAGGUUUCAGCUGGAAUUGUUGUGAUUGUGGAAGUCUCUGUUGUUGUAGAUGUUUCUACUUCACUAGUGGUGGAUGUUUCAGGAGGUGUCGUUAUUGUGGAAGUUUCUUCUGAAGUAGAUGUUUCUGCUUCAGUAGUGGUUGAUGUUUCAGCAGGCGUAGUGAUUGUGGAAGUCUCUGUUGUUUUAGAUGUUUCUGCUACACUAAUGGUGGAUGUUUCAGCAGGACUCAUGAUUGUGGAAGUCUCUUUUGUAGUAGAUGUUUCUGCUUCACUAGUGGUGGAUAUUUCAGGUGUAGUUGUGAUUGUUAAAGUCUCUAAUGUGGUAGAUGUUUCUGCUAAAAUGAUAGUGGAUGUUUCAGCUGGAAUUGUUGUGAUUGUGGAACUCUCUGUUGUUGUAGAUGUUUCUGCUACACUGAUAAUAGAGGUUUCAGCAGGAAUUGUUGUGAUUGUGGAAGUAUCUGUUCUGGCAGAUGUUUCUACUUCACUAAUUGUGGAUGUUUCAAUGGCAGUUGUUGUGAGUGUGGAAGUCUCUGUUGUUGUAGAUGUUUCUGCUACACUGAUAGUAGAGGCUUCAGCAGGAAUUGUUGAGAUUGUGGAAGUAACUAUUGGUGUAGAUGUUCCUGCAGCACUAGUGGUGGAUAUUUCAGCAGGAAUUGUUGUGAUUUUGGAAGUCUCUGUUGUUGACGACGUAUCUGUAGCACUAGUGGUAAAUGUUUCAGCAGGAAUUGUUGUGAUUGUGGAAGUAUCUGUUCUUGUAGAUGUUUCUACUGGCCUAAUUGUGGAUGUUUUAACCACAGUUGUUGUGAGUGUGGAAGUCUCUGUUGUUGAAGAUAUUUCUGCUUCACUAGUGGUGGAUAUUUCAGCAGGUGUCGUUUUUGUGGAAGUCUCUUUUGUAGUAGAUGUUUCUGCUACACUGAUACUAGAGGUUUCCACAGCAAUUGUUGUAAUUGUGGAAGUCUCUGUUGUUGUAGAUGUUUCUGCUGCACUAGUGGUGGAUGUUUUAGCAGGAGUGGCUGUGAGUGUGGAUGUCUCUGUUGUUGUAGAUGUUUCUGCUAAACUAAAAGUGGAUGUUUCAACUGGAUUUGUUAUGAUUGUGGAAAUCUCUGUUGUUGUAGAUGUUUCUACUUCAAUAGUGUUGGAAGUUUCAGGAGGUGUCGGUAUUGUGGAAGUCUCUGUGCUUGUAGAUGUUUCUGAUGCAUUAGUGGUGGAUGAUUCGGCAGGAUUUGUUGUGAUUGUGGAAGUCUCUUUUGACGUAGAUGUUUCUGCUUCAGUAGUGGUUGAUGUUUCGGCAGGAGUAGUGAUUGUGGAAGUCUCUGUUGCUGUAGAUGUUUCUGCUGCACUAGUGGUGGAUGUUUCAGCAGGUGUCAUUUUUGUGGAAGUCUCUGUUGCUGAAGAUGUUUCUGCUGUACUAGUAGUGGAUGUUUCUGCUGGAAUUAUUGUGAUUGUUGAAGUCUCUGUUGUAGAUUUUUCUGCUGCACUGACAGUGGAUGUUCCAGCUGGAAUUGUUGUGAUUGUGGAACUCUCUGUUGUUGUAGUUGUUUCUGAUACACUGAUAGUAGAGGUUUCAGCAGGAAUUGUUGUGAUUGUGGAAGUGUCUGUUGUUGAAGACGUUUCUGCGUCACUAGUGGUGGAUGUUUCAGCAGGAAUUGUUGUAAUUGUGGAAGUAUCUCUUCUUGUAGAUGUUUCUGCUGCACUAAUUGUGGAUGUUUCAACCGCAGUUGUUGUCAAUGUGGAAGUCUCUGUUGUUGAAGAUAUUUCUGCUACACUAAUGGUGGAUGUUUCAGCAGGACUCGUGAUUGUGGAAGUCUCUUUUGUAGUAGGUUUUCCUGCUUCACUAGUGGAGGAUAUUUCAGGUGUAGUUGUGAUUGUUGAAGGCUCUGUUGUUGUAGAUGUUACUGCUAAACUGAUAUUGGAUGUUUCAGCUGAAAUUGUUGUGACUGUGGAAGUCUCUAUUGUAGUAUAUGUUUCUGCUACAAUGAUAGUAGAGGUCUCAGCUGGAAUUGUUGUGAUUGUGGAAGUCUCUGUUGUAGAUGUUUCUGCUGCACUAGUGGUGGAUGUUUCUGCUGCAGUUGUUGUGAUUGUGGAAGUCUCUGUUGUAGAUGUUUCUGCUGCACUAGUGGUGGAUGUUUCAGAAGGAGUUGUUGUGAUUGUGUAAGUCUCUGUUGUUGUAAAUGUUUCUGCAGCACUAGUGGUGGAUGUUUCAGCAGGAAUUGUUGUGAUGGUGGAUAUCUGUGUAGUAGAUUUUUCUGCUGCACUAGUAGUGGAUGUUUCAGCAGGAGUUGUUGUUGUGGAAGUCUCUGUUGUAGUAGAUGUUUCAUUUGCAAUGGUGGUGGGUGUUUCAGCAGGUGUUGUUGUGAUUGUGGAAGUCUCUGUUGUUAAAGAUGUUUCUGCUGCACUACUGGUGGAUGUUUCAGCAGGAGUAGUUAUUGUAGAAGUCUCUGUUGUUGUAAAUGUUUCUGCAGCACCAGUAGUGGAUGUUUCAACAGGAGUCGUGAUUGUGGAAGUCUCUGUUGUUGUAAAUGUUUCUGCAGCACUAGUGGUGGAUGUUUCAGCAGGAGUCGUGAUUGUGGAAGUCUCCAUUGUUGUAGAUGUUUCUGCUACACUGAUAGUAGAGGUUUCAGCAGGAAUUGUUGUGAUUGUGGAAGUCUCUGUUGUUGAAGAUAUUUCUGCUACACUAACGGAGGAUGUUUCAGCAGGAGUCCUGAUUGUGGAUGUUUCUUUUGUAGUAGAUAUUUCUGCCUCACUAGGGGUGGAUAUUUCAGGUGUAGUUGAUUUGAUUGUGGAAGUCUCUUUUGUUGUAGAUGUUUCUGCUUCACUGAUAGUAGAUAUUUCAGCAGGAGUAGUGAUUAUGGAAGUCUCUGUUGUUGUAGAUGUUUCUGCUGCACUAGUAGUGGAUGUUUCAGCUGGAAUUAUUGUGAUUGUUGAAGUCUCUGUUGUAGAUAUUUCUGCUGCACUGAUAGUGGAUGUUUCAGCUGGAAUUGUUGUGAUUGUGGAACUCUCUGUUGUUGUAGAUGUUUGUGUUACAUUGAUAGUAGAGGUUUCAGCAGGAAUUGUUGUGAUUGUGGAAGUCUCUGUUGUUGAAGACGUUUCUGCAGCACUAGUGGUGGAUGUUUCAGCAGGAAUUUUUGUGAUGGUGGAUAUCUGUGUAGUAUAUU
Molecule: long non-coding RNA, 3298 nt
Organism: Cyprinus carpio (common carp)
Lineage: Eukaryota; Metazoa; Chordata; Actinopteri; Cypriniformes; Cyprinidae
Source: Ensembl